This 440-nucleotide ribosomal RNA is filed under the name uncultured bacterium. RNAcentral's name for it is "partial 16S ribosomal RNA". It matches the Rfam family "Bacterial small subunit ribosomal RNA", at positions 338 to 795 of the family's 1533-position model. The record is from RNAcentral.
CCUACGGGAGGCAGCAGUGGGGAAUAUUGCACAAUGGGGGAAACCCUGAUGCAGCGACGUCGCGUGAGUGAAGAAGUAUUUCGGUAUGUAAAGCCCUAUCAGCAGGGAAGAUAAUGACGGUACCUGUGUAAGAAGCCCCGGCUAACUACGUGCCAGCAGCCGCGGUAAUACGUAGGGGGCAAGCGUUAUACGGAUUUACUGGGUGUAAAGGGAGCGUAGACGGAUUGGGAAGUCUGCAGUGAAAGACCGGGGCUUAAGCGCGGGACUGCUGUGGAAACUGUGAAGCUGGAGUGGGGGAGAGGUAAGGGGAAUGCGGGGUGUAGCGGUGAAAUGCAUAGAUAUUAGGAGGAACACCGGUGGCGAAGGCGGCUUGCUGGACUGUCACUGACGUUGAGGCUCGAAAGCGUGGGGAGCGAACAGGAUUAGAUACCCUUGUAGUC